Molecule: unclassified non-coding RNA, 258 nt
Filed under: Hevea brasiliensis (rubber tree)
Lineage: Eukaryota; Viridiplantae; Streptophyta; Magnoliopsida; Malpighiales; Euphorbiaceae
Source: RNAcentral
GGUUGGGAUUAUUCCUUCGAGCAUUUGGUCUUCGCACAAUUACUUGUUAUGGCAGCAAAAGUUUUAGGUCCUCAGGAGAUUGUUUCCUUUGCUCUCAAUUAUCUAAAGGAAUGAGAUAGAAUUAAACAGGUCAGUGAUCCAUUCUCUAUAGCUUUAUCUAAAUUGAGCUCUCCUAUAAAAUGGUCUAAACCGAUCGAGGGAAGGUUCAAAUGCUAUGUGGAUGUGGCUCUCUUUUUGACACAAUUUAAAGCAAGUUUC